Molecule: ribosomal RNA, 253 nt
Filed under: uncultured bacterium
Lineage: Bacteria
Description: partial 16S ribosomal RNA
Rfam family: Bacterial small subunit ribosomal RNA
Source: RNAcentral
UACGUAGGGGGCAAGCGUUGUCCGGAUUUAUUGGGCGUAAAGAGCGUGUAGGCGGCUUGGUAGGUCCGCUGUGAAAACUCGAGGCUCAACCUCGAGAUGUCGGCGGAAACCACUUGGCUAGAGUCCGGAAGAGGAGAGUGGAAUUCCUGGUGUAGCGGUGAAAUGCGCAGAUAUCAGGAAGAACACCUAUGGCGAAGGCAGCUCUCUGGGACGGUACUGACACUGAGGAACGAAAGCCAGGGGAGCAAACGGG